This 456-nucleotide small RNA is filed under the name Pongo abelii (Sumatran orangutan). Its description in RNAcentral is "processed transcript". Lineage: Eukaryota; Metazoa; Chordata; Mammalia; Primates; Hominidae. The record is from RNAcentral.
GAGUUGAGGAGUGCUGAAACAAUUGGUCGUACCAUCAUAUCUCCAGCUAUUUCUGGAAAGGAUUUUGUGAUAACUGAAGGCACAUUGGUCUUUGAACCUGGCCAGAGAAGCACUGUAUUGGAUGUCAUCCUAACGCCAGAGACAGGAUCUUUAAAUUCAUUUCCUAAACGCUUCCAGAUUGUCCUUUUUGACCCAAAAGGUGGUGCCAGAAUUGAUAAAGUGUAUGGGACUGCCAACAUUACCCUUGUCUCAGAUGCAGAUUCGCAGGCCAUUUGGGGGCUUGCAGAUCAGCUACAUCAGCCUGUGAAUGAUGAUAUUCUCAACAGAGUGCUCCAUACCAUCAGCAUGAAAGUGGCCACAGAAAACACAGAUGAACAACUCAGUGCCAUGAUGCAUUUAAUAGAAAAGAUAACUACUGAAGGAAAAAAUCAAGCUUUCAGUGUUGCCAGCCGAACU